RNAcentral lists this transfer RNA (73 nucleotides) under Bos taurus (domestic cattle). It matches the Rfam family "tRNA". From Rfam's summary of the family: Transfer RNA (tRNA) molecules are approximately 80 nucleotides in length. Their secondary structure includes four short double-helical elements and three loops (D, anti-codon, and T loops). RNAcentral also lists the same sequence under 2 other names. The record is from Rfam by way of RNAcentral. Lineage: Eukaryota; Metazoa; Chordata; Mammalia; Artiodactyla; Bovidae.
UCCCUGGUGGUCCAGUAGUCAAGACUCCGCACUCCCAAUCCAGGGGGCGUAGGUUCAAUUCCUGGUCAGGGAA